This 365-nucleotide ribosomal RNA is filed under the name Asteromyzostomum sp. ICHUM. RNAcentral's name for it is "partial 16S ribosomal RNA". It matches the Rfam family "Bacterial large subunit ribosomal RNA", at positions 1922 to 2561 of the family's 2925-position model. The record is from RNAcentral. Lineage: Eukaryota; Metazoa; Annelida; Myzostomida; Asteromyzostomidae.
UUUAAAUAGCUGCGUUUGUACUAAGGUAGCAUAAUAACUUGCCUUUUAAUUAAAGGAUAGAAUGAAUGGGUUAACGAAGAAAUAACUGUCUCUAUUUUACAAAUAAAACUUAAUAUAAAUGUGAAUAAGCAUUUAUAAUAUAAAAAGACAAAAAGACCCUGUCGAGCUUUAUCUAACCAAUAAUCAUUAGAUUUUGUUGGGGCAACACAAAUUAUAUAUCACAAUUUUUAUAUUUAAAAUACAAUCCAAUUCACAUUGAAAUAUAAAAGUUACCGCAGGGAUAACAGACUUAUCUUUCUAAAGAGUCCAAAUCGAUAGAAAGGUUUGGCACCUCGAUGUUGGCUUAUAAUUUCUGAUUGGGGCAA